Molecule: ribosomal RNA, 465 nt
Filed under: uncultured bacterium
Lineage: Bacteria
Description: bacterial SSU rRNA
Rfam family: Bacterial small subunit ribosomal RNA
Source: RNAcentral
UGGCUAACUCCUACGGGAGGCAGCAGUGGGGAAUAUUGCACAAUGGGCGCAAGCCUGAUGCAGCAACGCCGCGUGCGGGAUGACGGCCUUCGGGUUGUAAACCGCUUUUAGUAGGGAAGAAGGGCUUCGGCUUGACGGUACCUGCAGAAAAAGGACCGGCUAACUACGUGCCAGCAGCCGCGGUAAUACGUAGGGUCCGAGCGUUGUCCGGAAUUAUUGGGCGUAAAGAGCUCGUAGGCGGUUUGUCGCGUCUGCUGUGAAAACUAGAGGCUCAACCUCUAGCCUGCAGUGGGUACGGGCAGACUUGAGUGGUGUAGGGGAGACUGGAAUUCCUGGUGUAGCGGUGGAAUGCGCAGAUAUCAGGAGGAACACCGAUGGCGAAGGCAGGUCUCUGGGCACUUACUGACGCUGAGGAGCGAAAGCGUGGGGAGCGAACAGGAUUAGAAACCCCGGUAGUCCAGCUGG